AAAUGAAUUGACGGGGACUCGCACAAGCGGUGGAGCAUGCGGUUUAAUUCGAUGCAACGCGAAGAACCUUACCAGGUCUUGACAUACUGUUGAUUGGUCUAGAGAUAGAUCGUUUCUUCGGAACAACAGAUACAGGUGGUGCAUGGUUGUCGUCAGCUCGUGUCGUGAGAUGUUGGGUUAAGUCCCGCAACGAGCGCAACCCUUAUCAUUAGUUGCUAACAUUCAGUUGAGCACUCUAAUGAGACCGCCGGUGUAAACCGGAUGAAGGUGGGGAUGACGUCAAAUCAUCAUGCCCCUUAUGACCUGGGCUACACGCGUGCUACAAUGGCUAGUACAAAGAGUUGCGAAACCGCGAGGUGGAGCUAAUCUCAUAAAGCUAGUCUCAGUUCGGAUUGUAGUCUGCAACUCGACUACAUGAAGUUGGAAUCGCUAGUAAUCGUGAAUCAGAAUGUCACGGUGAAUACGUUCUCGAGUCUUGCACACACCGCCCGU
Molecule: ribosomal RNA, 492 nt
Filed under: uncultured bacterium
Lineage: Bacteria
Description: bacterial SSU rRNA
Rfam family: Bacterial small subunit ribosomal RNA
Source: RNAcentral